CAUGUAGGCGGUUUUGAAAGCUUGAUGUGAAAUCCCACAGCUUAACUGUGGAACUGCAUUGAGAACCGCAAGACUAGAGUUACUGAAGGGAAACUAGAAUUCCAAGUAUAAGAAUAAAAUCUGUAGAUAUUUGGAAGAAUACCAAUGGCGAAGGCAAGUUUCUGGCAGAUAACUGACGCUGAGGUGCGAAGGUGCGGGGAGCAAACA
RNAcentral lists this ribosomal RNA (207 nucleotides) under uncultured bacterium. Its description in RNAcentral is "partial 16S ribosomal RNA". It matches the Rfam family "Bacterial small subunit ribosomal RNA", at positions 568 to 774 of the family's 1533-position model. The record is from RNAcentral.